This 461-nucleotide ribosomal RNA is filed under the name uncultured bacterium. Its description in RNAcentral is "bacterial SSU rRNA". It matches the Rfam family "Bacterial small subunit ribosomal RNA", at positions 28 to 500 of the family's 1533-position model. The record is from RNAcentral.
GAUGAACGCUGGCGGCGUGCUUAACACAUGCAAGUCGAACGAGAGAAGAUUGGUGCUUGCACUGAUCCGAUCGAGUGGCGGACGGGUGAGUAACGCGUGGGUAACCUGCCUCAUACAGGGGAAUAACAGUUGGAAACGGCUGCUAAAACCGCAUAAGCGCACGGUAUCGCAUGAUACAGUGUGAAAAACUCCGGUGGUAUGAGAUGGAUCCGCGUCUGAUUAGCUAGUUGGUGAGGUAACGGCCCACCAAGGCAACGAUCAGUAGCCGGCCUGAGAGGGUGAACGGCCACAUUGGGACUGAGACACGGCCCAAACUCCUACGGGAGGCAGCAGUGGGGAAUAUUGCACAAUGGGGGAAACCCUGAUGCAGCGACGCCGCGUGAGUGAUGAAGUAUUUCGGUAUGUAAAGCUCUAUCAGCAGGGAAGAUAAUGACGGUACCUGACUAAGAAGCACCGGCUAA